This 213-nucleotide small nucleolar RNA is filed under the name Caretta caretta (loggerhead turtle). RNAcentral describes it as "Small nucleolar RNA SNORA73 family". It matches the Rfam family "Small nucleolar RNA SNORA73 family". Rfam says of the family: U17 (SNORA73A and SNORA73B) also known as E1 belongs to the H/ACA class of small nucleolar RNAs (snoRNAs). Vertebrate U17 is intron-encoded and ranges in length from 200-230 nucleotides, longer than most snoRNAs. Lineage: Eukaryota; Metazoa; Chordata; Testudines; Cheloniidae. The record is from Rfam by way of RNAcentral.
UCAACAUGGACAUCCGUUGAGGUUACUUGUGGGUCUGUCCAAGUGGUAUAUGGGAGUAUAGCCCUAAGUGCAGUGAUGUACAGUCCCCUUCCACAGUGUUGAAGAGCAAGCCCUGUCCCUGGUUCUAGAGCUGAUGAGGGCAGACUCCUUUAUAUUCCUAUAACUUCUCAGUCUCUAGACAAUUACUGAGGAGAAACCAUGCAGGGUGCAACU